Molecule: ribosomal RNA, 207 nt
Filed under: Bacteroides fragilis
Lineage: Bacteria; Pseudomonadati; Bacteroidota; Bacteroidia; Bacteroidales; Bacteroidaceae
Description: partial 16S ribosomal RNA
Rfam family: Bacterial small subunit ribosomal RNA
Source: RNAcentral
GGAUGACGUCAAAUCAGCACGGCCCUUACGUCCGGGGCUACACACGUGUUACAAUGGGGGGUACAGAAGGCAGCUAGCGGGUGACCGUAUGCUAAUCCCAAAAGCCUCUCUCAGUUCGGAUCGAAGUCUGCAACCCGACUUCGUGAAGCUGGAUUCGCUAGUAAUCGCGCAUCAGCCACGGCGCGGUGAAUACGUUCCCGGGCCUUG